RNAcentral lists this ribosomal RNA (252 nucleotides) under uncultured bacterium. RNAcentral describes it as "partial 16S ribosomal RNA". It matches the Rfam family "Bacterial small subunit ribosomal RNA", at positions 337 to 586 of the family's 1533-position model. The record is from RNAcentral.
UCCUACGGGAGGCAGCAGUGAGGAAUAUUGGUCAAUGGUCGGGAGACUGAACCAGCCAAGCCGCGUGAGGGAGGAAGGUACAGAGUAUCGUAAACCUCUUUUGUCAGGGAACAAAGACUGGGACGCGUCCCCGGAUGAGUGUACCUGAAGAAAAAGCAUCGGCUAACUCCGUGCCAGCAGCCGCGGUACUACGUAAGUGGCAAGCGUUGUCCGGAUUUAUUGGGCGUAAAGCGAGUGCAGGCGGUUCAAUAA